This 148-nucleotide ribosomal RNA is filed under the name Candidatus Woesearchaeota archaeon. The record is from RNAcentral. Lineage: Archaea; Nanobdellati; Candidatus Woesearchaeota.
UAGGACGACCAUAGGGGCCUGGAUAUACCCGAUCCCAUAUAUUUAUUGCUAUGGCAAUGAAUAGGGAUUUUCGAACUCGGAAGUCAAGCAGGUCUCCGUUCCGUGUUGUACUGUAUUUGCAUACGGGAAGCACGGGAAGUUGUCCGCC